This 532-nucleotide ribosomal RNA is filed under the name Aeoniacalles aeonii bodegensis. RNAcentral describes it as "partial 16S ribosomal RNA". It matches the Rfam family "Bacterial large subunit ribosomal RNA", at positions 1819 to 2625 of the family's 2925-position model. Lineage: Eukaryota; Metazoa; Arthropoda; Insecta; Coleoptera; Curculionidae. The record is from RNAcentral.
GGCCUUUUGAGUAUAAUUUAAGGUCGGGCCUGCCCAAUGAAAGUAUUUAAUGGCCGCGGUAUAUUAACUGUGCUAAGGUAGCAUAAUCAUUAGUUUUUUAAUUGAAAGCUGGAAUGAAGGGUUUAAUGAAAAAAGUUCUGUUUCUAUUUAAAUUUAUUAGAAUUUUAUUUUUAAGUUAAAAAGCUUAAAUAAUUAUUGAAGACGAGAAGACCCUAUAGAGUUUUAUAUUUUUAAAGAUUACUGUAUUUGGAAAUUUUAACUUAAUUUUUAGAAUUAUUUAGUUGGGGUGAUUGAAAAAUUAAAAGAACUUUUUCUUUAUUGAACAUUAAUGUAUGAAUGAAUGAUCCUUAUUUUAAGAUUAAAAGAAUAAAUUACCUUAGGGAUAACAGCGUAAUUUUUUUUAGAGUUCUUAUCAAAAGAAAAGAUUGCGACCUCGAUGUUGGAUUAAAAUAAGUUUUUGGUGCAGAAGCUAAAAAACUAGGUCUGUUCGACCUUUAAAUUUUUACAUGAUCUGAGUUUAGACCGGUUUGAG